CUGGUCCGCCACUGCCACAUCUAAGGGCAGCGCGCGCGCGCGUGUCUGUGUGUGUGUGUGUGCGUGUGUGUGGAGUUGGCGAUCGAGGGUCACGCGCAGGUGGCUCUGCGGCGGUGGUGGCGGCGGUCGCAGAGGCGACACCGUUGGAGGCAGAGGCAGAGGGCCGGCCGGACCACCAUCCCUGCGGGCGGGGUGACAGUUCCAGAGAGGAAACAGAAGAACACAAAGUCUCUUGAGGUAUACACUUGGAAUUGGCACGCCAUCACUCCUGCUACCUUCUAUUGGCCAAAACAAGUCACACGGCCAGCCUAGAUUUAAGGGCAGGGGAAGCAGACCCCGCCUCUUGAUGAGAGGAGCUGCAAAGUCAUGUUGCAAAGGCAUGGACACCAGGAGGGCGUUAACUGAGACCACGAAUGCAAUUAAUCCACCACUCCG
This 435-nucleotide long non-coding RNA is filed under the name Equus caballus (horse). RNAcentral's name for it is "lncRNA (ENSECAG00000031406.3)". Lineage: Eukaryota; Metazoa; Chordata; Mammalia; Perissodactyla; Equidae. The record is from RNAcentral.